CAUGGAGAGUGCAUUGUAAAUACUGUCUUAUUUUGUUCUUGCUGGGUCAGUGCUGCAGACUGCAAACGUGAGGAAAUCGCUUCAGCCAGUGCUGAAACCACAUUUACUUACCUGUGUAUUUAGCGGUCUGGUUUAGACCACACACAGAUUACAGUGUGUGUUAUACCACACAGCUGUUGCUGCUCAUUGAUCUUUGGGUUACCAAUGCCAUAAAAUCCCUCCCUAACCUCCUUCUGCUGAUCUGUAGCAUGGAAGAACAAGUUGAAGGCAUAUUCUCAUCAGGAAAUGAAUUCUCAUCUCAUUAUUCAGGUGUACGUCUCUGAAGAAACCCAUGUUUUUCCAAGCAUGGCCUAUUGCCAAUCCCAGGUCUGUAACCACUGAAAAACGAACACGAUGAGAAUAUGAAAAAAACCCCAGAGAUCUC
RNAcentral lists this long non-coding RNA (424 nucleotides) under Calidris pygmaea (Spoon-billed sandpiper). RNAcentral describes it as "lncRNA (ENSCPGG00000007854.1)". The record is from RNAcentral. Lineage: Eukaryota; Metazoa; Chordata; Aves; Charadriiformes; Scolopacidae.